Salvia splendens (bonfire salvia) is the source of this 1248-nucleotide RNA transcript. RefSeq lists it as uncharacterized. The transcript is spliced from 3 exons. The record is from RefSeq and is a predicted model, not a curated record. Lineage: Eukaryota; Viridiplantae; Streptophyta; Magnoliopsida; Lamiales; Lamiaceae.
UUUAACCUUCUUUCCUCUUUGCCCUAGUCUAACCGUUUAUUCUACCGUCUCUUCCGUCCAUCUGUUUUCCCUUUCUUCUUAUUUAUUUUUUCUUUUAAUUUUUCUCUUUCUUUCGAUUAGGAUUCCUCCUCAUCGGAAGUGCUUCUCAGUUCUGCAUAGCUCGUUCAGGUGCAAUUUUGUUGUUGUGAGAGAUCUCAAAGAGAUUAGAAAAUGAACCACUGUGCAAUUCAGCAGAACAGCUAUGCUGCGUGUGAAGAGAUUUGGGCCACCGCCGACAGAUCCAUGGAGAGGAAGGAGACCGUGGUUUGCCCUAAGCCACUCCGAUUCGGCCUAAACCGCAGCACUCUUGAUCCAGCUUAUGCUACACCCUUGAGAUGGCAAUUUAGGUAUAAAAAAAAUAUUGUUAUUUUAUUUAAUUUAUAUAUAUGCUCUUGAAAUUAUUUUUAACUUUUUUGUUUGGCAGCCAUCAACAAGAGGAUUAUGAUGCAAAGGCUGGAAAUGAGCUACUGGACAUAAUUCUGGCAAAGGUGGUUCGAGAUCGGACCAAUCCGCUCCACAGGUAGCCUCGUCGCCCCCAUUUUUUUCCGGGUCGCCGCCUAGUAGAGUAUCUAACCCGCUAAUUCAAGACGCUCGUUUUGGAGAUGAUAAAGUCGUCCCAGUCCCGACCCCCUCAUCCGUGAUGGCGCCAUCGGCCUCCUCUGCUCGCAAGGGCUGUGUGAGGUCUAAUUUUGGCAACAAUCCGGCCUUCCGGGUCGAGGGUUUUGACUGCCUGGACAGGGAUGGGCGCAACUGCAGCAUCCCUGCCUUGGCUUGAGAAAGAAGAGUACAUACGUAGGUUUGAGGCAUCAAAUUUUUGAAGAAGAACAAGAUAUUGGAAAAAAAGAGUAACAUUUUGAUCAGAUUGAGCUUACCUCCUACAUGUUGAUUUUGUCGUCUAUUAAUGUGUAUAUAUAUAUAUGUUGUCAUGCAAUAUGUCUGUAAUUAACCAAGUUGAGGUGAGUUGGGUCGAGUCUUUGUAAGUACAUGAGAAAGAAGUUAUUGAGCAAGGAAACAAAUUAAUAACUAGGGAGGUAUCAUCAAGGGAAAUAACCCCUCUUUGUACUUGUGUAAGUAAGUGAUGAGAAAAGGGGAUUUUCCUUUUUUUUCAUUUCGUAAUAUAUGUUUGAUGUUCAUUUUGGGGUUAGUUUGGGAUUUUGCAAAGGAGAAUAUGUAUAAAUGGAAAUUAAUAGAGUUCUUAACCUUGUGGAA